This 492-nucleotide ribosomal RNA is filed under the name uncultured bacterium. RNAcentral describes it as "partial 16S ribosomal RNA". It matches the Rfam family "Bacterial small subunit ribosomal RNA", at positions 28 to 507 of the family's 1533-position model. The record is from RNAcentral.
GAUGAACGCUCGCUACAGGCUUAACACAUGCAAGUCGAGGGGAAACGACAUCGAAAGCUUGCUUUUGAUGGGCGUCGACCGGCGCACGGGUGAGUAACGCGUAUCCAACCUGCCCAUCACUUGGGGAUAACCUUGCGAAAGUAAGACUAAUACCCAAUGAUAUCUCUAGAAGUCAUCUGAAAGAGAUUAAAGAUUUAUCGGUGAUGGAUGGGGAUGCGUCUGAUUAGCUUGUUGGCGGGGUAACGGCCCACCAAGGCAACGAUCAGUAGGGGUUCUGAGAGGAAGGUCCCCCACAUUGGAACUGAGACACGGUCCAAACGCCUACGGGAGGCAGCAGUGAGGAAUAUUGGUCAAUGGGCGAGAGCCUGAACCAGCCAAGUAGCGUGCAGGAAGACGGCCCUAUGGGUAGUAAACUGCUUUUAGAAGGGAAUAAAGUGAGAGUCGUGACUCUUUUUGUAUGUACCUUAUGAAUAAGGACCGGCUAAUUCCGUG